AGUGAACGCUGGCGGUAGGCCUAACACAUGCAAGUCGAACGGCAGCACAGUAAGAGCUUGCUCUUACGGGUGGCGAGUGGCGGACGGGUGAGGAAUACAUCGGAAUCUACUUUUUCGUGGGGGAUAACGUAGGGAAACUUACGCUAAUACCGCAUACGACCUACGGGUGAAAGCAGGGGAUCUUCGGACCUUGCGCGAUUGAAUGAGCCGAUGUCGGAUUAGCUAGUUGGCGGGGUAAAGGCCCACCAAGGCGACGAUCCGUAGCUGGUCUGAGAGGAUGAUCAGCCACAUGGGAACUGAGACACGGUCCAGACUCCUACGGGAGGCAGCAGUGGGGAAUAUUGGACAAUGGGCGCAAGCCUGAUCCAGCCAUACCGCGUGGGUGAAGAAGGCCUUCGGGUUGUAAAGCCCUUUUGUUGGGAAAGAAAAGCAGCAGGUUAAUACCCCGCUGCUCUGACGGUACCCAAAGAAUAAGCACCGGCUAACUUCGUG
This 492-nucleotide ribosomal RNA is filed under the name uncultured bacterium. Its description in RNAcentral is "partial 16S ribosomal RNA". It matches the Rfam family "Bacterial small subunit ribosomal RNA", at positions 29 to 507 of the family's 1533-position model. The record is from RNAcentral.